RNAcentral lists this ribosomal RNA (403 nucleotides) under uncultured bacterium. RNAcentral describes it as "bacterial SSU rRNA". It matches the Rfam family "Bacterial small subunit ribosomal RNA", at positions 355 to 775 of the family's 1533-position model. The record is from RNAcentral.
UAGGGAAUAUUAGUAAUGGGCGAAAGCCUGAACUAGCAACGCCGCGUGUGCGAAGAAGGCCUUCGGGUUGUAAAGCACUUUUUGAGAGGAUGAGGAAGGACGGUACUCUCAGAAUAAGUCUCGGCUAACUACGUGCCAGCAGCCGCGGUAACACGUAGGAGGCGAACGUUAUCCGGAUUUACUGGGCGUAAAGCGCGUGUAGGUGGUUUGGUAAGUAGGGCGUGAAAGCUCCUGGCUCAACUGGGAGAGGCCGUUCUAAACUGCCGAACUAGAGGAUGGUAGAGGGAGGUGGAAUUCCGGGUGUAGCGGUGGAAUGCGCAAAUAUCCGGAGGAACACCAGUGGCGAAAGCGGCCUCCUGGACCACUCCUGACGCUCAGACGCGAAAGCUAGGGUAGCAAACGG